UACAGAGACUGCAAGCGUUAUUCGGAUUCACUGGGCGUAAAGGGUGCGCAGGUGGCCGUGUGUGUCAGAUGUGAAAUCCCGGGGCUUAACUCCGGAACUGCGUCUGAAACUACACGGCUAGAGCAUUGGAGAGGGUAGUGGAAUUCACGGUGUAGCAGUGAAAUGCGCAGAUAUCAGGAGGAACACCGGUGGCGAAGGCGGGACUCUGGGCCGAUACUGACGCUGAGGAGCGAAAGCGUGGGGAGCAAACAGG
This 253-nucleotide ribosomal RNA is filed under the name uncultured bacterium. RNAcentral describes it as "partial 16S ribosomal RNA". It matches the Rfam family "Bacterial small subunit ribosomal RNA", at positions 524 to 776 of the family's 1533-position model. The record is from RNAcentral.